RNAcentral lists this ribosomal RNA (497 nucleotides) under uncultured bacterium. RNAcentral describes it as "partial 16S ribosomal RNA". It matches the Rfam family "Bacterial small subunit ribosomal RNA", at positions 28 to 507 of the family's 1533-position model. The record is from RNAcentral.
GAUGAACGCUGGCGGCGUGCCUAAUACAUGCAAGUCGAGCGAACAGACGAGGAGCUUGCUCCUCUGACGUUAGCGGCGGACGGGUGAGUAACACGUGGAUAACCUACCUAUAAGACUGGGAUAACUUCGGGAAACCGGAGCUAAUACCGGAUAAUAUAUUGAACCGCAUGGUUCAAUAGUGAAAGACGGUUUUGCAGUCACUUAUAGAUGGAUCCGCGCCGCAUUAGCUAGUUGGUAAGGUAACGGCUUACCAAGGCAACGAUGCGUAGCCGACCUGAGAGGGUGAUAGGCCACACUGGAAGUGAGACACGGACCAGACUCCUACGGGAGGCAGCAGUAGGGAAUCUUCCGCAAUGGGCGAAAGCCUGACGGAGCAACGCCGCGUGAGUGAUGAAGGUCUUCGGAUCGUAAAACUCUGUUAUUAGGGAAGAACAAAUGUGUAAGUAACUAUGCACGUCUUGACGGUACCUAAUCAGAAAGCCACGGCUAACUACGUG